Molecule: ribosomal RNA, 312 nt
Filed under: uncultured Glomeromycotina
Lineage: Eukaryota; Fungi; Glomeromycota
Description: LSU rRNA
Source: RNAcentral
UUGAAAGGGAAACGAUUGAAGUUAGUCAUGCCGACGGGAAUCAACUUAGAGGAAACUCUGGGUGCACUUCUUCGUUUGGCAGGUUAGUGUCGAUUUUGGAUGUCAUAAAAUAAUUGGGGGAAGGUAGCUCUUUCGGGAGUGUUAUAGCCCUUGGUAGAUGUGAUGUCUGGGAUCGAGGAUUGCAACGGAUACCCUUCGGGGCUAACCGCCUGAUCUCUAAUUGGUGUUGGGUUACGGACAGCAUGCUGACCGUUUUCUAAUUACUGGUUAAAAGGUUAGAGCGUGUAUAAAUUCGUUAAGGAUGUUGACGUA